AUAUAAUAAAAAAAAUAAAAAAUGAUGAUAGGUGUAAGUGAGAUUAAUAUAUGUAUUGGAAACUCAAAUAAAAAAGUAAGCAAGAAAAAAUGAGAGAUAUUGUAUUAUCAUAUUUAUUAUAUACAAAUAUUUAUUAUUUAUUAGCAUUAACCAUUACUAGUAAGAUUGUUUAGGAAAUAACCAAUAUAUUCAAUGAUCUUAAUAAAUAAUAAUAAUAAUAAAUUCAGUAUUAUGUUCCCUCUAUAAAAAUAAAGAAAAAAAUUGAGGCCCUAAGCCACGGCCUAGUUGCUACUUUUCUUACCCUAAAUGAAUAAAGGUAGCAUUAUUUGCAUAACAACAUUAUGAUGUAAAACUAAAAUGAUAUACUUAAAAAGAAACAUCCAAAUAAUUCUUAACAUUGUUAUGCUUACACACAUUCACAAUAAUUCAAUUCGCAUCGUCUUCCUCGUGGAGGGAAGCACAUAUCUUUUGGACAAUCUUUAUAUGUUACACAAGGAAUGAAAGCUGAGAUGUCAAACAAAAUCAAAAACCAUAUUAUAUUUCAGUUAUUUGUUAAAAAAGAUAUAAAUUUUAUCAUAAAGUAUAUUAUUUAUAGUAAUAAUUAUCAUAUAUAUUGAAUAUAAAAAAUAUCAUGGAUAACAUUAAAAAAAUGAAAAUACUGUGUAAAAUAACUUACAUCCUAUAGGAUCACUUCUCUCUGUAAAAGCAAAAGAAAUUUUAUUAAAAGGUGAUGAAAUAUUGUGCUUAAAAAAUAAAAAAUAAAAAUUAAAUGCCGUCAUUAAUUGACUUACUACUAGUUACAAUAAUAAGUAGAGAAAGAAAAAUGAUCAAAAUAUAAAAGAAUUUGAGAAUUUGAGCCAUAUUUUUCCUGCGUAUAACUAAAAGAAAAUUGUCUUAUAACUUUUUAGAUUACAAGCUUCGUGUUUUGUUGGUUUUAAAUAUACUAGUAUUAAUUACCACAUAAGAGUUGUAAGAAACCAUUUUAAAAAUGGAAUUAUUUGCUAAAUGCCUCUAUGGUACAUCCAUAUGUUGUGUUUAUCUCUUUAAAUUGGCAAUUUUUUUAUUUAACUUUUAAUAUACUUUUUCUACUUAACCUUUCAU
This 1101-nucleotide long non-coding RNA is filed under the name Lathyrus oleraceus (garden pea). RNAcentral's name for it is "Pisum sativum (pea) long non-coding RNA (PSAT_LNC032311)". The record is from RNAcentral. Lineage: Eukaryota; Viridiplantae; Streptophyta; Magnoliopsida; Fabales; Fabaceae.